RNAcentral lists this small nucleolar RNA (72 nucleotides) under Loxodonta africana (African savanna elephant). Its description in RNAcentral is "Small nucleolar RNA SNORD112 (ENSLAFG00000032982.1)". Lineage: Eukaryota; Metazoa; Chordata; Mammalia; Proboscidea; Elephantidae. The record is from RNAcentral.
UGGGUCAAUUAUGAGAAUGUGCCAUGAACCAAGUAAUACGAUUAAUCCAAUUCUGUGUACUGGAGGGUUAAA